RNAcentral lists this ribosomal RNA (457 nucleotides) under uncultured bacterium. RNAcentral's name for it is "bacterial SSU rRNA". It matches the Rfam family "Bacterial small subunit ribosomal RNA", at positions 34 to 507 of the family's 1533-position model. The record is from RNAcentral.
CGCUGGCGGCGUGCUUAACACAUGCAAGUCGAACGGUAAGGCCCUUCGGGGUACACGAGUGGCGAACGGGUGAGUAACGCGUGAGUAACCUGCCCUUCACUCUGGGAUAACAGUUGGAAACGGCUGCUAAUACCGGAUAUUCAGCUCCUGUCGCAUGGUGGGGGUUGGAAAGUUUUGGUGGUGGAGGAUGGGCUCGCGUCCUAUCAGCUUGUUGGUUGGGUGAUGGCCUACCAAGGCGUCGACGGGUAGCCGGCCUGAGAGGGCGACCGGCCACAUUGGGACUGAGAUACGGCCCAAACUCCUACGGGAGGCAGCAGUGGGGAAUAUUGCACAAUGGGCGGAAGCCUGAUGCAGCAACGCCGCGUGCGGGAUGACGGCCUUCGGGUUGUAAACCGCUUUCAGCAGGGACGAAGCGUGAGUGACGGUACCUGCAGAAGAAGCACCGGCUAACUACGUG